CAUAGCUCUGCCAACAGCUCGUUCUUCCAAAUUAUUUGAAAUUAGAUUACGUACAGAAAGCUUUCAAGAAAUAUGAGCUUCUCCAUAUUGUUGCUUCUCCAAUACUCUCCGGGAUUCACGGUGUAUCCUACUACUCUCCUCCACACUACCAAGGAAGGAGUCUCCAUCCCACUCCUGUUUGCAUGUUACUGUUCUGCAGUUGUCCACAACAGUAAAAAGGAGGUGGCAUGAAGCAAGGCUCUCAACCAGCUGCACACACGGGACGGUCAGAACCAAGCCAAAUACAGAUGGUUAACUCUUGGGUCCACUCUGCAGCCUCUCUCAUGGGAGA
Long non-coding RNA from Gallus gallus (chicken), 331 nucleotides. The record is from Ensembl. NCBI's taxonomy places the organism in Eukaryota, Metazoa, Chordata, Aves, Galliformes, Phasianidae.